Molecule: ribosomal RNA, 253 nt
Filed under: uncultured bacterium
Lineage: Bacteria
Description: partial 16S ribosomal RNA
Rfam family: Bacterial small subunit ribosomal RNA
Source: RNAcentral
UACGAAGGGGGCUAGCGUUGUUCGGAAUCACUGGGCGUAAAGGGCGCGUAGGCGGCCGAUCAAGUCGGGGGUGAAAGCCUGUGGCUCAACCACAGAAUUGCCUUCGAUACUGGUUGGCUUGAGACCGGAAGAGGUAAGUGGAACUGCGAGUGUAGAGGUGAAAUUCGUAGAUAUUCGCAAGAACACCAGUGGCGAAGGCGGCUUACUGGUCCGGUUCUGACGCUGAGGCGCGAAAGCGUGGGGAGCGAACGGG